This 441-nucleotide long non-coding RNA is filed under the name Rattus norvegicus (Norway rat). RNAcentral describes it as "long non-coding RNA NONRATT029168". The record is from RNAcentral. Lineage: Eukaryota; Metazoa; Chordata; Mammalia; Rodentia; Muridae.
CAUGGCCCCCAGCCGCGCUCCCCGCCCGCGCACCCGGCGACAGGGUGGUGCGGGCGCCGCCGCCGCUCGCCUGGAAAUGCGAGCUACCUGGACAGUGACAUUUCUGAGAAGUCUUGUUCAGCUUCAAGAGCCCAGAAGAGCCGUGCCCUCAGGACUUGCCGUUGUGAGGACACUGCUUUCCAGGAAGACAGGCCUAUGUGACUGGAGGUGGCAGACCUCGGAUGACUAAGUACGGCACUGUCGUAGCUGUCGCUAACACAGAAAGCAGAAGUUCACAGGACCAGAGGUCAACAGGAGCUGCCUAGUCCGGGAAGGUUUCUAAAAAUGGAGAAUGGAGCUGAACUGUGCAGGAAGACAGGGAUGUCACCGAGACAGGAAGGAGCACAGCGAGGACAGUGCGCAAAGCCGCUGGCCCAUAAUACCUUCUUCAUUUAAAAACUU